UGAGAAGUCUAGGUACAUUUGGAGGUC
This 27-nucleotide non-coding RNA is filed under the name Rattus norvegicus (Norway rat). The record is from RNAcentral. Lineage: Eukaryota; Metazoa; Chordata; Mammalia; Rodentia; Muridae.